GCCCGCCUAGCUCAAUCGGAUAGAGCGUCAGACUCUUAAGUUAGGCAUCUGAAGGCUGCGAGUUCGACCCUCGCGGUGGGCU
Stygiomarasmius scandens is the source of this 82-nucleotide non-coding RNA. Lineage: Eukaryota; Fungi; Basidiomycota; Agaricomycetes; Agaricales; Campanellaceae. The record is from the annotation of a GenBank genome assembly.